UGUCACCGUAGGCAAUGUGCUAUCAGGGGGUUAUUUUCGAAACACCUCAAAUGACUAUUUCAGUUGUCCACACUUGCUGUGGACACAGGAUGUUAGGGAGGCUGUUUCUUCUGCCGGACUAGUUUUAGGAACUUAUGGUAACUUCAAACCUAAAAGGAAAGAACGAUCGUUUGCAUUCAAGGUCUAAAGAAUUGGAAUUUCCGGGUCUUUAUUGUAUUUUAUCCUUUUGACUCAAAGCUCAGAUUCAACUCCUUACUCCGAUCCAAACCAAACAAGAAACAACUCCCUAAGAUUGGUGUUUCACUUUAAAGGCUUAAUCAGAUUCAGGUUCAGUUUUCUUGGCUAGACUGCUCAUAUGGAGUUCUCCCAUCAGGAGGCACAUAAUGUCUGGUUGUCUCUCAAUGACUGUGAGAACUACUAGAGCCUGGACCAUUCAGCACUAUUCCUGUGUUCAUCGAUAGUUAUUGGGGACAAACUUAGGAUGAUUAAGAUAAGCCAAGAAGACACUGAGAGGCAGACUUAAAGAAAAAGAUAUUUGGGAAAACUGCCCUCAAAUGCUGAGAGUCCCCUUCUUUCUCCGCUUGCUCAUCUUCACUCAUUUUUUUAAGUGCUCUUCCUCCUUGCCUCAAAAUCUUUGGCACAGUAGCUUUGAAGAAGUGGAAGAACAGUGAGCUUGAGUUCUAGUCUACACUCUCACAUCCUGGCUGUGUAAACUUGGAUUCCACAUACAGGGGGAGACCUUCAAGAUGGCAGAGGAGUAAGAAGUGGAGAUCACCUUCCUCCCCACAAAUACAUCAGAAAUACAUCUACAUGUGGAACAACUCCUACAGAACACCUACUGAACACUGGCAGAAGACCUCAGACUUCCCAAAAGGCAAGAAACUCCCCACAUAUGUGGGUAGGGCAAAAGAAAAAAGAAAAAACAGAGACAAAAGAAUAGGGAUGGGACCUGCACCUCUGGGAGGGAGCUGUGAAGGAGGAAAAACUUCCACACAUUAGGGAGCCCCUUCACUGGCAGAGAUGGGGGGGGAAGCUUUGGAGCCAUGGAGGAGAGUGCAGCAACAGGGGUGCAGAGAGCAAAGCAGAGAGGUUCCUGCACAGAGGAUUGGUGCCAACCAGCACUCACCAGCCUGAGAGGCUUGUCUGCUCACCUGCCGGCAUGGUUGGGGGCUGGGACCUGAGGCUCUGGCUUCUUUGGAGUUGAGAUCCCAGGGAGAGGACUGCAGUUGGCUGCGUGAACACAGCCUGAAGGGGGCUAGUGCACCACAGCUAGCUGGGAGGGAGUCUGGGGAAAAGUAUGGACCUGCCUAAGAGGCAAGAGACCAUUGUUUCAGGGUGCGUGAGGAUAGGGGAUUCAGAGCACCACCUAAAUGAGCUCCAGAGAUGGGCGUGAGCCGCGGCUAUCAGCGCGGACACGAGAGACGGGCAUGAAAUGCUAAGGCUGUUGCUGCAGCCACCAAGAAUCCUGUGUGCAAGCACAGUUCACUUUUCACACCUCCCCUCCCAGGAGCCUGUGCAGCCCACCGCUGCCAGGGUCCUGUGAUCCGGGGGCAACAUCCCUGGGAGGACACACGGAGCACCUCAGGCUCUUGUAAUGUCACACGGGCCUCUGCAGCUGCAGGCUCAUCCUGCAUUCCGUACCCCUCCCUCCCCCCCAGCCUGAGUGAGCCAGAGCCCCCUAAUCAGCUGCUUCCUUAACCCCGUCCUGUCUGAGCGAAGAGCAGACUCCCUCAGGAGACCUAUAUGCAGAGGUGGGGCCAAAUCCAAAGCUGAACCCCAGGAACUGUGCGAACAAAGAAAAGAAAGGGAAAUCUCUCACAGCAGCCUCAGGAGCAGUGGAUUAAAUGUCCACAAUCAACUUCAUCUACCCUGCAUCUCUGGAAUACCUGAAUAGACAGUGAAUCAUCCCAAAAUUGAGGUGGUGAACUUUGGGAGCAAUGAUAUAUAAAUUUUUUUCCCUUUUCUCUU
This is an RNA transcript of Lagenorhynchus albirostris (white-beaked dolphin), 1968 nucleotides long. It is a transcript of the gene named doublesex- and mab-3-related transcription factor C1-like, with no coding region annotated. NCBI's taxonomy places the organism in Eukaryota, Metazoa, Chordata, Mammalia, Artiodactyla, Delphinidae. The record is from RefSeq and is a predicted model, not a curated record. The transcript is spliced from 5 exons.